Molecule: ribosomal RNA, 460 nt
Filed under: uncultured bacterium
Lineage: Bacteria
Description: partial 16S ribosomal RNA
Rfam family: Bacterial small subunit ribosomal RNA
Source: RNAcentral
CCUACGGGUGGCAGCAGUGAGGAAUAUUGGUCAAUGGACGAGAGGCUGAACCAGCCAAGUAGCGUGAAGGAUGACUGCCCUAUGGGUUGUAAACCUCUUUUAUAUGGGAAUAAAACAGGCCAUGCAUACACUCUUGUAUGUACCAUAUGAAUAAGGAUCGGCUAACUCCGUGCCAGCAGCCGCGGUAAUACGGAGGGUCCGAGCGUUAUCCGGAUUUAUUGGGUUUAAAGGGAGCGUAGGUGGGUUGUUAAGUGUGUUGUGAAAGUUUGUGGCUCAACCGUGAGAGUGCAGUUGAAACUGGCAGUCUUGAGUACAGGAGAGGUGGGCGGAAUUCGUGGUGUAGCGGUGAAAUGCUUAGAUAUCACGAAGAACCCCGAUUGCGAAGGCAGCUCGCUGGACUGCAACUGACACUGAUGCUCGAAAGUGUGGGUAUCGAACAGGAUUAGAUACCCGAGUAGUC